ACGCUCGACACCUACGGGAGGCAGCAGUGGGGAAUAUUGCACAAUGGAGGAAACUCUGAUGCAGCGAUGCCGCGUGAGGGAAGAAGGUUUUCGGAUUGUAAACCUCUGUCUUUGGGGACGAUAAUGACGGUACCCAAGGAGGAAGCUCCGGCUAACUACGUGGCAGCAGCCGCGGUAAUCUGAGCGGGCUGGCAAGGC
RNAcentral lists this ribosomal RNA (198 nucleotides) under uncultured bacterium. Its description in RNAcentral is "partial 16S ribosomal RNA". It matches the Rfam family "Bacterial small subunit ribosomal RNA", at positions 328 to 539 of the family's 1533-position model. The record is from RNAcentral.